GAUGAACGCUGGCGGCGUGCUUAACACAUGCAAGUCGAACGGUGAAGCAGGAGCUUGCUCUUGUGGAUCAGUGGCGAACGGGUGAGUAACACGUGAGCAACCUGCCCCUGACUCUGGGAUAAGCGCUGGAAACGGCGUCUAAUACUGGAUAUGUGAUGUGACCGCAUGGUCUGCAUCUGGAAAGAAUUUCGGUUGGGGAUGGGCUCGCGGCCUAUCAGCUUGUUGGUGAGGUAAUGGCUCACCAAGGCGUCGACGGGUAGCCGGCCUGAGAGGGUGACCAGCCACACUGGGACUGAGACACGGCCCAGACUCCUACGGGAGGCAGCUGUGGGGAAUAUUGCACAAUGGGCGGAAGCCUGAUGCAGCAACGCCGCGUGAGGGAUGACGGCCUUCGGGUUGUAAACCUCUUUUAGCAGGGAAGAAGCGAAAGUGACGGUACCUGCAGAAAAAGCACCGGCUAACUACGUGCCAGCCGCCGCGGUAA
RNAcentral lists this ribosomal RNA (484 nucleotides) under uncultured bacterium. RNAcentral's name for it is "partial 16S ribosomal RNA". It matches the Rfam family "Bacterial small subunit ribosomal RNA", at positions 28 to 523 of the family's 1533-position model. The record is from RNAcentral.